AGAGUUUGAUCCUGGCUCAGAACGAACGCUGGCGGCAGGCCUAACACAUGCAAGUCGAGCGCUGUAGCAAUACAGAGCGGCGCACGGGAGAGUAAUACAUGGGAACCUACCUUUUGGUUCGGAAUAACGUCGGGAAACUGACGCUAAUACCGGAUAAGCCCUUCGGGGGAAAGUUUUUCGCCGAUAGAUGGGCCCAUGUUGGAUUAGCUAGUUGGUGAGGUAACGGCUCACCAAGGCUACGAUCCAUAGCGGGUCUGGGAGGAUGAUCCGCCUCACUGGGACUGAGACACGGCCCAGACUCCUACGGGAGGCAGCAGUGGGGAAUAUUGGACAAUGGGGGCAACCCUGAUCCAGCCAUGCCGCGUGAGUGAUGAAGGCCUUCGGGUUGUAAAGCUCUUUUGCAGGGGACGAUGAUGACGGUACCCUGAGAAUAAGCCCCGGCUAACUUCGUGCCAGCAGCCGCGGUAAUACGAAGGGGGCUAGCGUUGUUCGGAAUUACUGGGCGUAAAGGGCGCGUAGGCGGCUUGACAAGUUGGAUGUGAAAGCCCAGGGCUCAACCCUGGAAUUGCAUUCAAGACUGUUUUGCUUGAAUUCGGUAGAGGUUGGUGGAAUUCCCAGUGUAGAGGUGAAAUUCGUAGAGAUUGGGAAGAACACCCGUGGCGAAGGCGGCCAACUGGACCGACAUUGACGCUGAGGCGCGAAAGCGUGGGGAUCAAACAGGAUUAGAUACCCCGGUAGUCC
RNAcentral lists this ribosomal RNA (741 nucleotides) under uncultured bacterium. RNAcentral's name for it is "bacterial SSU rRNA". It matches the Rfam family "Bacterial small subunit ribosomal RNA", at positions 8 to 796 of the family's 1533-position model. The record is from RNAcentral.